RNAcentral lists this ribosomal RNA (543 nucleotides) under uncultured Mycoplasma sp. Its description in RNAcentral is "bacterial SSU rRNA". It matches the Rfam family "Bacterial small subunit ribosomal RNA", at positions 400 to 940 of the family's 1533-position model. Lineage: Bacteria; Bacillati; Mycoplasmatota; Mollicutes; Mycoplasmatales; Mycoplasmataceae. The record is from RNAcentral.
UGUGNNCGAUGAAGGUCUUCUGAUUGUNNNNNUNUUUUAUUUAGGAAAAAAAGCUUGAGAGGAAAUGAUUAAGCCCUGAUUGUACUAAAUGAAUAAGUGACAGCUAACUAUGUGCCAGCAGCUGCGGUAAAACAUAGGUCACGAGCAUUAUCCGGAUUUAUUGGGCGUAAAGGAAGCGUAGGCGGACAAAUUGAUCUAUUGUUAAAGGCACUUGCUCAACGAGUUGUUUGUGAUAGAUAUCGUUUGUCUAGAAUUAGUUAGGAGAUACUGGAAUUCAAUGUGUAGCGGUGGAAUGCGUAGAUAUAUUGAGGAACACCAGAGGCUAAGGCGAGUAUCUAGGACAUAAUUGACGCUGAGGCUUGAAAGCGUGGGGAGCAAAUGGGAUUAGAUACCCCAGUAGUCCACGCCGUAAACGAUGGGUAUUAGGUAUUUGGUUUAGGACUGAGUGCUGUAGCUAACGCGUUAAAUACCCCGCCUGGGUAGUAUAUAUGCAAAUAUGAAACUCAAAGAAAUUGACGGGGACCUGAACAAGUGGUGGAGCAA